GGAGAGGUGUCCGAGUUGGCUUAAGGAGCACGAUUGGAAAUCGUGUAAGUUGUGAAAGCAGCUUCGGGGGUUCGAAUCCCCCUCUCUCCGCCA
This 93-nucleotide transfer RNA is filed under the name Clostridia bacterium. Its description in RNAcentral is "tRNA-Ser". It matches the Rfam family "tRNA". Rfam says of the family: Transfer RNA (tRNA) molecules are approximately 80 nucleotides in length. Lineage: Bacteria; Bacillati; Bacillota; Clostridia. The record is from RNAcentral.